RNAcentral lists this ribosomal RNA (229 nucleotides) under uncultured bacterium. RNAcentral describes it as "partial 16S ribosomal RNA". It matches the Rfam family "Bacterial small subunit ribosomal RNA", at positions 568 to 796 of the family's 1533-position model. The record is from RNAcentral.
CGUGUAGGCGGUUGGGUUAGUCAGAUGUGAAAGCCUUCUGCUCAACAGAGGAAGUACGUCUGAAACUGCCCAACUUGAGUACGAGAGAGGAAAGUGGAAUUCCCAGUGUAGAGGUGAAAUUCGUAGAUAUUGGGAGGAACACCCGUGGCGAAGGCGACUUUCUGGAUCGAUACUGACGCUGAGACGCGAAAGCGUGGGGAGCAAACAGGAUUAGAUACCCUGGUAGUCC